GACGAACGCUGGCGGCGUGCUUAACACAUGCAAGUCGAACGGAAAGGCCCUGCUUUUGUGGGGUGCUCGAGUGGCGAACGGGUGAGUAACACGUGAGUAACCUGCCCUUGACUUUGGGAUAACUUCAGGAAACUGGGGCUAAUACCGGAUAGGAGCUCCUGCUGCAUGGUGGGGGUUGGAAAGUUUCGGCGGUUGGGGAUGGACUCGCGGCUUAUCAGCUUGUUGGUGGGGUAGUGGCUUACCAAGGCUUUGACGGGUAGCCGGCCUGAGAGGGUGACCGGCCACAUUGGGACUGAGAUACGGCCCAGACUCCUACGGGAGGCAGCAGUGAGGAAUAUUGCACAAUGGGCGGAAGCCUAAUGCAGCAACGCCGCGUGCGGGAUGACGGCCUUCGGGUUGUAGACCGCUUUCGCCUGUGACGAAGCGUGAGUGACGGUAAUGGGUAAAGAAGCACCGGCUAACUACGUG
RNAcentral lists this ribosomal RNA (468 nucleotides) under uncultured bacterium. RNAcentral's name for it is "partial 16S ribosomal RNA". It matches the Rfam family "Bacterial small subunit ribosomal RNA", at positions 28 to 507 of the family's 1533-position model. The record is from RNAcentral.